This is a long non-coding RNA of Schistocerca nitens (vagrant locust), 2992 nucleotides long. RefSeq lists it as uncharacterized. The transcript is spliced from 4 exons. Lineage: Eukaryota; Metazoa; Arthropoda; Insecta; Orthoptera; Acrididae. The record is from RefSeq and is a predicted model, not a curated record.
ACCCACAUCCUUUCAUCUUUCCCUCUCCUUCCUUCUUUCCUGAUGAAGCAACCGUUGGUUACGAGAGCUUGAAUUUUGUGUGUGUGUCUAUCAACAUACCAACGCUUUCGUUAGGUAAGUUACAUCAUCUUUGUAUACUUUUAAUUCUAAAUUCAGUGCAUUAGUAUUUGUAAAAUGACUCUUUCAUAUAGUGUUCAUUCAAAAAUGACGAUCAUUCCACUUGGGACCUGUGGAAUGGUACAUUAGCUUAUUUGUUUUAGUUGUAAAUAUUUGUCAUGUAUUGCUGUUUUUCUGACAUGUUCCACGUCCUGGAGGACCUUCUCACUAUGGAUCAAUUGGAAUGAAAGUAAAUAUAAUCUAAUUUAAAACCUACUUGAUGCUUCUUGCAAAAUAACACCUUGUCCACUUCUGUCUGCUUCACUUCCCUAUGACUUCUUCCAUCAGCUUGUGAUGGCAGAUUAGAUUAGAUUAGAUUAAUACUUGUUCCAUAGAUCAUGAAUACGACACUUUGUAAUGAUGUGGAACGUGUCGGUUAAUAAAAGAUGUCUGUACAAGAUAUUACAUUACACAAAAUAUUGCAUGACACUUUUUGCCCCCCUUAAUUUAUAUCUAAACAUUCAGCCAAUGAGUAGGAGUUGUCAUCUAGAAAUUCUUUUAACUUAUUUUUAAAUGUUAGUUGGCUAUCUGUCAGGCUUUUGAUGCUGUUUGGUAGGUGACCAAAGACUUUUGUGGCAGCAUAAUUUACCCCUUUCUGUGCCAAAGUCAGAUUUAACCCUGCAUAGUGAAGAUCAUCCUUUCUCCUGGUGUUAUAGCUAUGCACACUGUUAUUACUUUUGAACUGGGCUGGAUUAUUAACAACAAAUUUCAUAAGUGAAUAUAUACCGGUAUACAGUGAGGAUCCCUAGAUCCUUAAAUAGAUGUCUGCAGGAUGACCGUGGGUGGGCUCCAGCAAUUAUUCUGAUUACACGUUUUUGAGCAAUGAAUACUUUUCUACUCAACGAUGAAUUACCCCAGAAUAUGAUGCCAUACGAAAGCAGUGAAUGAAAGUAGGCAUAGUAAACUAAUUUACUGAUAUUCUUAUCACCAAAAUUUGCAAUAACCCUAAUGGCAUACGUAGCUGAACUCAGACGUUUCAGCAGACCAUCAAUGUGUUGCUUCCAGUUUAACCUCUCAUCAAUGGACACACCUAAAAAUUUUGAAAAUUUUACCUUAGCUACAGACUUAUGUUCAAAGUCUAUAUUUAUUACUGGAGUUGUACCAUUUACUGUACGGAACUGUAUAUACUGUGUUUUAUCAAAAUUUAAAGAGAGUCCGUUUGCUGAGAACCACUGAAUAAUUUUGUGAAAAACAUCAUUUACAAUUACAUCACUUAGUUCUUGGUUUUUGGAUGUUAUUACUAUACUUGUAUCAUCAGCAAAAAGAACUAACUUUGCAUAUUCAUCAAUGUGGUAUGGUAAGUCAUUAAUGUAUAUCAAGAACAGUAAAGGACCUAAGACCGAACCCUGUGGGACCCCGUACUUGAUAGCCCCCCAGUUUGAGGAACCAGCUGUUGUUUUAACAUUACAUGAACCACUUAUUUCAACUUUCUGCAUUCUUCAGAUGUCCACUUGAUUCGUAGUGGGUUACAAACACCAAAUAGCACAGAAGUGGUACAGCAUAACAAUAAACUUAUUACUACACUGCUUAAUGGUAUUCAUGUUUAUGCCACCUAAAUUUGAGUAAAUUAGAAAGAGCACAAUGCCUCCUCAUUUUUACUAUGUAGCUGCUGCUUAUCUGCAAUUAAUAGUUUAAUAUUUACUUCAUUAUAAUGGUAUUCUUCAAAAAAAAGUAUUAGCUACAUCUGUAAAUACUGAGUCCUGUUUUCAGUGUGUUAAUACUUGUCAUGCAGCUUCAUAACAAACACUGAUACUUCCCAAAUGGCUAACAAAGCUUUUGAAUCCGUGAAUGCCGAUAAUUUUUAGAAAGAGUAACUAAUGAUGAAUGUUUUUAAUUUUGUUUUUAACUGUGAGGGAUACCAAAUUUCUUACUUUUUGUUAGGUAGGGGUUUGAUGAAAAUCUUCCCACCACAGAACAUAACUCUGAUGUGAACUCUCGACAAGCAGGCGAAGUCAACGUGAAUAUUACUUUUGUCUCCUGUACUGUGUGAAUCUAAAAAUCACAGUGUAGCUGAAACUGACUCUCAUCAUCAGCAACAAUAACCUGUAAGGAGCAAAAUUUUUGGUCCCAUCAAGGAGAAUCUUCAUGGAUGUCGAAUGAGUCAAGGCAUGUUGAGCCAUCAUCUGAGCUGUGUCUAGUAAGGGGCCAAUUUAAGGCACAAGCUGUCACAUGGGUUGCCGAGGUGAGAGGGGCACCAGAGAUGCCACAACUGUAAGAUGUAUACAACUAGUAGCAGACACCUGGAAAGCCAAGCUGAGAGGAGCAUCAGUGACACCCAAGUGCAAGAUUUGUAUACAGAGUAUUUGUAUGAGUGUCACAAUUAGUCACAAAAACUGAAACAGGUGAAAGUUUACAAGGGAGAAUGGGGGAGCCAAAUGAUAAUCACUUGCAUGGAAAACUGUUUUUGAUCUGAACCUGAUAAUUUUCCACCUGAAGGUUCACAGCGUCCUCAAUUUUGCUCCUAGUUUGUAUCAACAUUAUUAUGGGUUUAACAGUGCACAUUCAGUUUCUGGGUAAACAUUUUGUCAAACUCACCAUAAUUCACUGCUCUGUGUUUGUAAAAACCCAGCUAGAUACAUGAAACACAGAUAAAACAGAAAGAGUCUGUGAUAACAGAGUGUACCGCAACCAUAAAAGGAACUGUGCAGGAGAAGGUUUCAACUAUUACAUAGGAUCCAAACCUUUAUUUACUUUUGGAUUGAAAUCUGGUUGUCCUGAUGUCAUUUACAUAAAACUGAAUUGCAGAACUGCUUCAGUUCAGUAUGCACUCAUUCUACUAUGUAAAUGAUGUACAGAGUAACACAUAUCAAAAAAUUCAUUUAUUUAUAUUUGUAUU